AACUCUUUGCAGUGGAUCACUCGGCUCAUGCAUUGAUGAAGAAUGCAGCUAGCUACGAGAAUUAAUGUGAAUUGCAGGACACAUCGAUCAUUAACACUUUGAAUGCACUUGUAGCUCCAGGUUCCUCCCAGGGCUUUAAGAAAAA
This 145-nucleotide ribosomal RNA is filed under the name Saimiri boliviensis boliviensis (Bolivian squirrel monkey). RNAcentral's name for it is "5.8S ribosomal RNA (ENSSBOG00000010516.1)". It matches the Rfam family "5.8S ribosomal RNA". Rfam says of the family: 5.8S ribosomal RNA (5.8S rRNA) is a component of the large subunit of the eukaryotic ribosome. It is transcribed by RNA polymerase I as part of the 45S precursor that also contains 18S and 28S rRNA. Lineage: Eukaryota; Metazoa; Chordata; Mammalia; Primates; Cebidae. The record is from Rfam by way of RNAcentral.